AGAGCGAACGCUGGCGGCGUGCUUAACACAUGCAAGUCGAACGCGCAGCAGUUUGUAGCAAUACAGAUUGUGGGCGCGUGGCGAACGGGUGCGUAACACGUGGAUAACCUUCCUUCAGGUGGGGAAUAACCCAGUGAAAAUUGGGCUAAUACCGCAUAACAUGACGAUGGCUCAUGCCGUUGUCUUCAAAGGCGCAAGUCGCCAGAAGAGGGAUCCGCGGCCGAUUAGCUAGUUGGCGGGGUAACGGCCCACCAAGGCGAAGAUCGGUA
This 269-nucleotide ribosomal RNA is filed under the name uncultured bacterium. RNAcentral's name for it is "partial small subunit ribosomal RNA". It matches the Rfam family "Bacterial small subunit ribosomal RNA", at positions 26 to 285 of the family's 1533-position model. The record is from RNAcentral.